Molecule: unclassified non-coding RNA, 155 nt
Filed under: soil metagenome
Description: partial internal transcribed spacer 1
Source: RNAcentral
AAAAAGGAUACCGGGAAACCGGUAGACCCCACCCGUGUCUAUCUACUCUUGUUGCUUUGGCAGGCCGUGGCCUCCACCGCGGGCUCUGCCUGCGUGUGCCUGCCAGAGGACCAAACUCUGAAUUUUAGUGAUGUCUGAGUACUAUAUAAUAGUUA